CUCAGUUCGGAUUGUAGGCUGCAACUCGCCUACAUGAAGUUGGAAUCGCUAGUAAUCGCGAAUCAGAAUGUCGCGGUGAAUACGUUCCCGGGUCUUGUACACACCGCCCGUCACACCACGAGAGUUUACAACACCCGAAGUCAGUGGCCUAACCGCAAGGAGGGAGCUGCCUAAGGUGGGGUAGAUGAUUGGGGUGAAGUCGUAACAAGGUAAC
Molecule: ribosomal RNA, 214 nt
Filed under: uncultured bacterium
Lineage: Bacteria
Description: partial 16S ribosomal RNA
Rfam family: Bacterial small subunit ribosomal RNA
Source: RNAcentral